This 446-nucleotide ribosomal RNA is filed under the name uncultured bacterium. Its description in RNAcentral is "bacterial SSU rRNA". It matches the Rfam family "Bacterial small subunit ribosomal RNA", at positions 329 to 792 of the family's 1533-position model. The record is from RNAcentral.
AGCCAGACUCCUACGGGAGGCAGCAGUGGGGAAUAUUGCACAAUGGGGGGAACCCUGAUGCAGCGACGCCGCGUGGGUGAAGGAGCACCUCGGUGCGUAAAGCCCUAUCGGCAGGGAAGAAACAGACGGUACCUGACUAAGAAGCCCCGGCUAACUACGUGCCAGCAGCCGCGGUAAUACGUAGGGGGCAAGCGUUAUCCGGAUUCACUGGGUGUAAAGGGAGCGUAGACGGCCAUGCAAGCCUGGAGUGAAAGCCCGGGGCCCAACCCCGGGACUGCUCUGGGAACUGUGCGGCUGGAGUGCGGGAGGGGCAGGCGGAAUUCCUGGUGUAGCGGUGAAAUGCGUAGAUAUCAGGAGGAACACCGGCGGCGAAGGCGGCCUGCUGGACCGCGACUGACGUUGAGGCUCGAAAGCGUGGGGAGCAACCAGGAUUAGAUACCCCAGUA